AAACCAAGCCUUGCAACAUUGGAGAACAGUUGCCUGCCUCCAGGCACAGGGGAGCUUGAUGAUGUUACAGUAACACUCGUACUUCCCAAAGCUUCGAAGUCAUUGCUAGUGAAAGUAGGUUGUUCUGUGAAAGAAGGUUCUGAAAAGCUAAAAGGCAAAGGCUCUAAGUACAUGCCAAUGGCUUCAGCUUUAACUUGUUCACGCCGUUCCUUCCUAGCUAGCCACGUCCUUUGUUUUUCCCUACUUCUGAUUUCCUCCAUAAAGGGAGAAAGUGCAUCCAUGGGCAUUAUCUUGCUGAGAUCAAUUUCACAAAGCUGAAAUGUUGUUGUCAAAGAAAAAUGACUUAGGAAGCGGUAACGCCUUCUCAUGGCCUCCGAUUGCGUCACGGACUCCAUUUGUAAAAUCUUUCCACUGAUUCUGUUAGGAAGACCACCGUAGCCACCGUAGUAAUGCAGAAGGCACUUCAUGUUCAGUGGAUGGAGGAUAAGGUGCUGACCAUCAACUGCCUGGUAGAAACUGUAGGAACUGAUCUCUUCUCUGUCAGUAAUGCCACUUGUGUCUUUCUGUAGGCUCUUGUCAUUGCCAUAUAAGGACAAUGAAGAUCCAACACGCUCUUCUAUUGAUUCAACAUCUGAAGCUUGAAUAAGAUGAGAGUCCCUCACUACCUUAUUGAGAGUUGACUUCUCCUGCAAUAUUGGUUUAUCAGCUGGAUUACUGUAUGGCAUUACAUGAGUAGAUUGUCCAGCAGAAUGGACCUGAACACUUUCUAGUCGCUGAGAACUAUAAGAGCACUUCUCCAAACGAUUAUCUUCGUCAGAUUUGCUAUUUUGAACAGCAAUAUGUUGCCUAUUCCAGUACGUCUUCCUCUGCUCCAAUAGUUCCCUUGCAGCACAGACAAAGGGAAGUUUCUCCAAGUCAUCAACUAAGCCUGAAUCAGCUCUAGCUAACCAA
Molecule: unclassified non-coding RNA, 951 nt
Filed under: Hevea brasiliensis (rubber tree)
Lineage: Eukaryota; Viridiplantae; Streptophyta; Magnoliopsida; Malpighiales; Euphorbiaceae
Source: RNAcentral